GUUCCCUUUGGCGGCACAUAUACUAAAAUUGGAAUGAUACAGGGAAGAUUAGCAUGGCUCCUGAACAAGCAUGACAUGAAAAUUCAUGAAGGGUUUCAUGAAUUU
Small nuclear RNA from Rattus norvegicus (Norway rat), 105 nucleotides. NCBI's taxonomy places the organism in Eukaryota, Metazoa, Chordata, Mammalia, Rodentia, Muridae. The record is from Ensembl.